GGUUGUGAGAGCAAGAGCCCGGAGAUGGAACUGAGACAAGGUUCCAGGCCCUACGGGGUGCAGCAGGCGCGAAACCUCCGCAAUGUGAGAAAUCGCGACGGGGGGAUCCCAAGUGCCAUUCUUAACGGGAUGGCUUUUCAUUAGUGUAAAGAGCUUUUGGAAUAAGAGCUGGGCAAGACCGGUGCCAGCCGCCGCGGUAACACCGGCAGCUCUAGUGGUAACAAUUUUUAUUGGGCCUAAAGCGUCCGUAGCCGGUUUAAUAAGUCUCUGGUGAAAUCCUGUAGCUUAACUGUGGGAAUUGCUGGAGAUACUAUUAGACUUGAGACCGGGAGAGGUUAGAGGUACUCCCAGGGUAGAGGUGAAAUUCUGUAAUCCUGGGGGGACCGCCUGUUGCGAAGGCGUCUAACUGGAACGGUUCUGACGGUGAGGGACGAAAGUUAGGGGCGCGAACCGGAUUAGAUACCCGGGUAGUCCUAACUGUAAACGAUGCGGACUUGGUGUUGGGGUGGCUUUGAGCUGCUCCAGUGCCGAAGGGAAGCUGUUAAGUCCGCCGCCUGGGAAGUACGGUCGCAAGACUGAAACUUAA
RNAcentral lists this ribosomal RNA (586 nucleotides) under uncultured archaeon. Its description in RNAcentral is "bacterial SSU rRNA". It matches the Rfam family "Archaeal small subunit ribosomal RNA", at positions 272 to 859 of the family's 1478-position model. The record is from RNAcentral.